This 253-nucleotide ribosomal RNA is filed under the name uncultured bacterium. RNAcentral's name for it is "partial 16S ribosomal RNA". It matches the Rfam family "Bacterial small subunit ribosomal RNA", at positions 524 to 776 of the family's 1533-position model. The record is from RNAcentral.
UACGUAGGGGGCUAGCGUUGUCCGGAAUCAUUGGGCGUAAAGCGCGUGUAGGCGGUCCGGUAAGUCCGCUGUGAAAGUCGGGGGCUCAACCCUCGGAUGCCGGUGGAUACUGUCGGGCUCGAGUACGGGAGAGGCGAGUGGAAUUCCUGGUGUAGCGGUGAAAUGCGCAGAUAUCAGGAGGAACACCAAUUGCGAAGGCAGCGAGCUGGAACGUUACUGACGCUGAGACGCGAAAGCGUGGGGAGCAAACAGG